RNAcentral lists this long non-coding RNA (1856 nucleotides) under Marmota monax (woodchuck). Lineage: Eukaryota; Metazoa; Chordata; Mammalia; Rodentia; Sciuridae. The record is from RNAcentral.
GCCGGGCCGGCGGUCACGUGGCAGCCCCGCCCCCCGCCGUGGGCGCGGACCCGGGCGCUCGCACGUGCGGGCGCGCCCGCGGGUGGGCGGUGCGUGGGGCUCCGGCCCGAGUCCCCCAGCCACGGUCGUUCGGGCUUGCCGCUACCCCGCACCUGCCCUCUCUCCUGGUGCCAAGGACCCCGUCCGCGCGCGCCCCGGGUCUCGGGCUCCUCUUUCCGAGUUCCUCUCGAGUCCGUGCCAGGCUUCCGAGGCAGGCGCGCUCCUACUCGCCACCGCUGGGAAGGUCGGCGCCGGAUGGGGGCGGCUGUGUACCCCAAGCCCAAACCUCCGCCUGGGUGAUGCUCCCCCAGGCCCACCCUUUCUGAGGUGCCCUGUGCCAGGGAGGUGGCCCUGCCUGUGGGUUCUGAGAGCAGCCUGGCGUGUCCACCUGCAGAGCCACCCAGUGCCAGGUGCCCUACCUUCAGCAGCCUCAUCGGCCUGCUGGGCUUCUUUGAGAUUCUCCUGGUGGAUGGAACAGAAUAAACCCCACCCCCACCGUGGCUGAGGGCGCACCUUGGGGCCAAUUGCCUGGCAAGUCUGGGUUCGUGGGGCAGCCUUGCCUGUCCUGGUCCUCCAUCUUUCCAUCUCCUCUCCCAGCUGCGAACAUCCACACAAGAUUGUCCAUCACUUUUGGUCACUUCUCUCUGCACAGUCAUCAACACAGGUGCCCGUCAGAAUAUCGAUGAAAGUCCUGGCACUAACCUAGGUAGGUUCCUCUGCCCAGAGCCCUCCUCCCUGCUGUGAAAUGUCAUUCCUGACCCCUGUCCAGAUACAGCCCCAGUUCCUCUACUGGGGUCCCAGACUUCUGUUUCCUGCACUCCAGCAUUUGGGAUUGAUAAGUACUUUCAAAUACUUGAUGUCUAGCCCCUUCCCCAUGGGACUUAGGGAGACAGACUGACACCCUCACUCCCACUGUCCUCCUUGGCCCAGUCUCCACCCAGAAGCUUCCGCCUGCAGGGGCUGGUAUUCAAAGCCAGAGGCUCAGCUGCCCAGCUGGGCACCAGGAGCUACACCACAGCCUGCACUGGACUGAUCCUGUGGGGUGCUGAAGUGAGGGAGCAGGAGGGCUAGCUGGAACAGGACAGAGUGCCAGGCUGCUGACCGCGGGCGGGAAAGCUGAGACCAGGGUGGUUAGAGUGCACAGGCAUUCCUCAGAGAGCCGCACACCUCCUGCCUCUGAGGGAUUGGGGGUGGCUUCCAAAGAGGGGGCAGGGGAGUUCUUAUGGAGGAGGAUGUUGGGUCUUGGGGACAGAGUGCCUGAAGAGAUCCAUCGCUGCACUUCCCUCCACUGCCGCCCUGCCACACGGAGUGAAAAACAGGAGCACAGGGCCACACCUGCAGUCCCAGUGCUGCAGGCUGAGGCGGGAGGGUGGCACGUCCAAGGCCAGCCUAGAACUGGUCUCCCCAGAGGCAAUUGAGUGAGACCCUGUUGGGAAAUAAAAAGAAAAAGGGCUGGAGGUGUAGCUCAGCGGCAGAGCCCUCUAGAUUUAACCUCCAGCGACAGUAAGAAAAAAAGUUCAAGGUUCAAGAUGGGCCCUCAUUAAUCUUUUCUUUCUUUAUUUUAUUUUCUUCUGGUAUUGAGAUGGAACCCAGGGCCUCACCAUGCUAGUCAAGUGCUCCACUGCUGAGACAGGGUCUUGGCUAAGUUGCCAGUCUGGCCCUGAACUUGCCAUCCUCCUGCCUUUGCCUUCCAAGCAGCUGUGAUGACAGCUGUGGCCACUGCACCUGGCUCCUGGUCAUCUCGAUGAAGCUGGGUGUUGGCAUAUGAACUUCACUGGGUCUGAUGUGUGUUUAAAACCUUCCAUAUUAAAAAAAAA